Molecule: ribosomal RNA, 720 nt
Filed under: Bacillus sp. I12B-01108
Lineage: Bacteria; Bacillati; Bacillota; Bacilli; Caryophanales; Bacillaceae
Description: bacterial SSU rRNA
Rfam family: Bacterial small subunit ribosomal RNA
Source: RNAcentral
ACGGAAGCCUUCGGGUGGAAGACAGUGGAUCUAGCGGCGGACGGGUGAGUAACACGUAGGCAACCUGCCUGUAAGAUGGGGAUAACUCCGGGAAACCGGAGCUAAUACCGAAUAAUCGUUUUGCUCGCAUGAGCAAAAGGUGAAAGGUGGCGCAAGCUACCGCUUACAGAUGGGCCUGCGGCGCAUUAGCUAGUUGGUGAGGUAACGGCUCACCAAGGCGACGAUGCGUAGCCGACCUGAGAGGGUGAUCGGCCACACUGGGACUGAGACACGGCCCAGACUCCUACGGGAGGCAGCAGUAGGGAAUCUUCGGCAAUGGACGAAAGUCUGACCGAGCAACGCCGCGUGAGUGAAGAAGGUUUUCGGAUUGUAAAACUCUGUUGUUAGGGAAGAACAAGUAUCGGUUAAAUAAGCCGGUACCCUGACGGUACCUAACGAGAAAGCCCCGGCUAACUACGUGCCAGCAGCCGCGGUAAUACGUAGGGGGCAAGCGUUGUCCGGAAUUAUUGGGCGUAAAGCGCGCGCAGGCGGUCUCUUAAGUCUGAUGUGAAAGCCCACGGCUCAACCGUGGAGGGUCAUUGGAAACUGGGAGACUUGAGUGUAGGAGAGGAAAGCGGAAUUCCACGUGUAGCGGUGAAAUGCGUAGAGAUGUGGAGGAACACCAGUGGCGAAGGCGGCUUUCUGGCCUAUAACUGACGCUGAGGCGCGAAAGCGUGGGGA